CAUGGAAAACUGAAAUAAGAAAAUCAGGAAUAAUAAAUCUAUAGAUGACUGGGGGAAAUGAGAGAGACAGCAUCUUCCUGCUUAGCAGACAUUCUACAAGAAUAGCUGAGCGCAGCACUUAUAACACAGAUUUCUUCAAAGUUUCACGGCAGCAGACCUCAAGGCUGAACAGCAUUGCUUAAUCCACAGAAUGGGUACAACAUGAGCUGUGGCAGAACAAGUCUCUCUACCACUAUGAAUCCAGUGCUGAGGGGCCUGAUACCACUUUUCAAUGGAAAAUGAAAGCCUCAGCACCUCUCAAAAGCAAAGUUAUUCAGAAGGUGCACAACAAGCAUCCACUAAUAACUAGGCACAUGAAGUCAGAUCCAUGUCAGCUGUUAAUCAGUGUAGCUAUCCUGACUUCUGUGGGACUACACAUAUUUAUACUAUCUGAGGAUCUAGCCUGUGAUAUUUUUACAGGUACUGAUUCUACAAAGUACGUAAGCACAUGGGUAGUUGCAAUGAAGCAUUUGCUGAAUUGGGACUUCAGCGAGCAGCGGUGAAAUGAAACUAGUUCAGCAUAACCACCUACAUCUGGAUUAAGAUACUACAUGACUGCAAAGUUUAUUUCUCCCUUUUAAGGCUUUCAAACUUUGACUCGCAUCAAAUCGUUGGAUUGUGUCUCAUGUUUAUGCUUUGUUGCACAAAUACCACCCCACCUUUGAUCUAUAUUAUUUACGUUCCCCGCCUCUUCCACUUGUCUUUUCCUGUAUAUUGUUCAUUCUCUUCUUUGGAACUGUUCUGAAAUCUUUGAUCUUGCGGCAUCCAUACAGCUGAUUCUAGUCAUUUUCUUUUAAUCAGCAACAAACGACACUUGUUUCCUAACCACUUUUUCAUUUAUUGACAUUUGUGGCUCAGCCUGCAUUUGUUCUUUAUUUACUGUGGUUCAGUUUUUAUGCUCUUUGAUUUAUUCGGUGUAAGGCACCUUCAUACAUAUGAAAGGUACGCUAUAAAUCAAUAAAUAAUAAUAAUAAAUGAAGUGAAGUUUGCAUUCCACCUUAUGUUUUCUAAGCAUCAAAACAUGAAGUCUCUGCGGACAGUCAGGUAUUAAAUAAAGCACUGUAAAACCACACCAUCAAACACCUCUUGUUACUUGGUCAAAUUAAACUCUAGCUUUAAGGGUGGCCUCACAGGACUUUAUAGCAAGGUUGUCUUUUGUUCACUUAUCUUUCACGUUUAAACUGUAUCUUGUAAAUCAA
Alligator mississippiensis (American alligator) is the source of this 1238-nucleotide long non-coding RNA. RefSeq lists it as uncharacterized. The record is from RefSeq and is a predicted model, not a curated record. The transcript is spliced from 4 exons. Lineage: Eukaryota; Metazoa; Chordata; Crocodylia; Alligatoridae.